Cryptococcus sp. DSM 104549 is the source of this 97-nucleotide non-coding RNA. NCBI's taxonomy places the organism in Eukaryota, Fungi, Basidiomycota, Tremellomycetes, Tremellales, Cryptococcaceae. The record is from the annotation of a GenBank genome assembly.
GGGGGAUUAGUUCAGUGGUAGAAUAUCGGAUUCCAAAUAUCCACUAUGAGUGUAGUUUGCUAUCCGCAGGUCGUCUGUUCAAACCAGGCAUUCCUCA